GAACCUGUGGGCUAAAGUCUGACGUGGUCAAAAUGGACAAAUAAUGAAUUCAGUGCCAUUGAACACUGAGAUAUCCCUUACAGCAGCCAAGAACAGUAUUUAAUUUGCUGAAACUGCUUCCAUUUCUGUUUGCAGUCAGAUACAGGUACUGCUUGGAUACAUGUGAUGAAUAAAAGAACGAUUGCUACAUUUCCAGAUCAA
Non-coding RNA from Cyanistes caeruleus (blue tit), 201 nucleotides. Lineage: Eukaryota; Metazoa; Chordata; Aves; Passeriformes; Paridae. The record is from RefSeq and is a predicted model, not a curated record.